GAAGGGAAUGACUGUGUUGUGUGCGUGCGAAACCUUUCGACGCCAUCUUAGCUGAGGCGGCUUUGUUUAGAAAGCGUGUUUAACUUUCGUUUCAUGUCGGAUCAAUUAACAACGGCAACGUAGUGACACAUAUGAGACUCAAGAUAAAGGCUUAGUGAUGAAGAGUAGCACAUCAUCUGCAAAGAGACAUAUCUUAUGAGAGCCUGUUGUAGUGAAAUACCCAGGGAAACCUUCUGUAUUGCAACCAAUUACUGCUUCUACUACAGAGACAAGAAUGAGAAAAUGAAGACUAAAUUGUUGGUAUUAGUUUCUGCAGAGCACAUCACUAGUCAUGAGGGUUAGACAGAGACAGAGAGAUCUCUGCAAGUGUCCUGAAAUGGGGACCCCAUUCCCAUAUGUCUUCCCCCACAGGUUCUUCUUCUCCAAAACCUCCAGAGCUGCUG
Long non-coding RNA from Pseudophryne corroboree (corroboree frog), 443 nucleotides. RefSeq lists it as uncharacterized. The record is from RefSeq and is a predicted model, not a curated record. The transcript has 4 exons. Lineage: Eukaryota; Metazoa; Chordata; Amphibia; Anura; Myobatrachidae.